CAGACGGGUGAGUAACACGUGGGAACAUACCCUCAGGUUCGGAACAACGCCGGGAAACUGGCGCUAAUACCGGAUACGCCCUGUGAAGGGGAAAGGCUUGCUGCCUGAGGAGUGGCCCGCGUUCGAUUAGCUGGAUGGCGGGGUAACGGCCCACCAUGGCGACGAUCGAUAGCUGGUCUGAGAGGAUGGCCAGCCACAUUGGGACUGAGACACGGCCCAGACUCCUACGGGAGGCAGCAGUGGGGAAUAUUGGACAAUGGGCGAAAGCCUGAUCCAGCAAUGCCGCGUGAGUGAUGAAGGCCUUAGGGUUGUAAAGCUCUUUUGUCCGGGACGAUAAUGACGGUACCGGAAGAAUAAGCCCCGGCUAACUUCGUGCCAGCAGCCGCGGUAAU
This 392-nucleotide ribosomal RNA is filed under the name uncultured bacterium. RNAcentral's name for it is "bacterial SSU rRNA". It matches the Rfam family "Bacterial small subunit ribosomal RNA", at positions 99 to 524 of the family's 1533-position model. The record is from RNAcentral.